CACCACAUCCUUGUGUUCCCUUGGUGUGAUUCAUCUGCAGAUACCAGAACUGCAUAAUUCAUCACAGAUCUUUAUUCCAGAUAUAAUUACACUAAAUCCUGUGGCCUGAGCAGUGUGAAGCCUUCUCUAAGGCAAGCACAAAAGGUGGUGCUGCUCUGGGGUGGUUUGCAGGGUGGUGGGUGCAUGUUUUGAGGUGACAUCUGCAAUGGGAAAACCCAACUGCUGUGGAAUAGAUGAAAGGACAGAGAAGAAGCAAAUUGGGGCAUCACUGUCUUGAGGGAAGGUGCUUGUGUUGGCUGGUGGGCUGAAAGUGAGAGGUUGGACUUGGUUUACCAGCCAGUCUCCUUGUCACCGAGCUCAACAGCCUGGGUUCUUGGGAUGGAAUUCACUCUGAGUGGAUUGGCUCUUCGCUUUCUAAUGCUGGAGGCAUCUCUGGGUUUGUCUUGGAGUUUCUUCAAAGCUCCAGGCACACCAUUGCUCAGGAGUGCCUGUUCUGGCACUGGGCACCAUGCCAGCAGUGGGAAUUCUGGAGAAGACCAGCACAAUUAAAGAUGAGCUCAGUGCCCCCCUUUGGCACAGCAGUUUUAAGAGUGGUGCUACCCAAGGAGAGGACCAGCAGAGCAGACAGCUGGAGCUCUCCCACACAACUUCCCUGGCGCAGCCCGUGCAAGGAGGAUCUCCCUGCUCUGCUGCUGCUCCUGUCACACAGCUGGGCUUCAAAAGAGGAUGCUCCUCUCCCACGUGCUUCAAAGGGAAACCAGGAGCCACAGAACAAUUUACUCCCACUCACAGGGCGAGGGGAAAUCCUCUUCUAACAGGGGAUCAUCCUGUUACAGCGAGGAUGCCUGGUGAUUUAUGGCAUGCAGCUUUAAACCCUCUUUCCCCUCCAAAGAAACACAGGAGACAGCAGAGCUGGAGGGAGAUAGGAGAGAGCUGACAUUGGCAAUGCUUGAAAUAUGGUGUGAGAGCUGGGAAAACCCUUCCUUGCUGUCUUCAUUAGCAUGACUUAAUUAAUAGUUAUAAUCUUAUCAAGCAGAGGUUGCCAUGCAGGAGGGAUGUGCAGGCUGAAAAUCAAAGCUUUAAUAAAUAGAUAUUUUAAGACCAAAAAGCACCACUGUAGUUUUGUCUGGCUUCCUGUGUAAUUGAUGCCAGAAACAGACCUUUCCAACUGAAAAAAAAAAAAAAAAUGGAUUUAAUAGGAAGGUAUUAGUAUUGUGAUAUUUUUGGGUAAUAGUUUUAACAAUCAAAAUUUGAGUAGCUUAUUUUGCAAGAAUCCAACCUAUCUGUACUUGAUUGGCUUUCAUUUUCAUUUUCUGCUCUAAAUGCUCUGUAAAUCCCAAAGAUUGUAUGCUCUGCAGGGCUUAUGCAUUGAUUUAUGCUUAUGAUUAUUUUCUUAAUCUUUUAUUCUACCAUUGAAUCCAAACUUAAAAAGAAUGUUCUCAACCUGGGACAAAGAAAAUUUUCCCUUUUUGAGACCAAAAAGUAUUAAUAUCUGUACCAUCAGUUCUGUUACUGUCUCUGACAUUUUUGUAGAUCUCCCUUCCCAUUUUCUUUGUGUUAGCCUUGGCUGGGUCUUGGAUGUGGUGGCACCUCUUAAUAAUCUCAGAAAUAUUUUGAUAUCUUGAGGUCUGAUGUGGCAGUAAGGGAGGCUGUCCUCACAGGAAUCAAGAAUAAACAGAAUAAAGUGUCAUCCAUGGAAGCUGAAUGGCUGGACAGCUUGAGUCAGGACCCAAAAAAAGGAAAAAAAUUAUCCAUUUAUUGCAGGUGUGAAGUGGAGAAGAGAAAUCCACCUGAGGACCCACAGGGAAGUAAAGACAAAGAAGAUUCAGUCCAUGGUGUGGGCAGUGCAGCACAGGGCAGCCCAGAGAGAGAGUCAGAAGCAGGAGAGAUUAUCCAAAUUUCAAUCAUACAUGGAGCAACUCAUACAAAUGUGAGCUUGCCCACAUCCAGAUUAGAUUAUUCCACAGUCAUUCAUGUCCUAGGUAUUUCUUAAACAGCACCACAGCCUGUGAGAGCUCAUGCUUAUUCAAAAUAUCUUUCAAAUAUAGAGGAAAUAAUGAUUUUAUUCCAGACCAAGUCCAUCAAUCUCAAAGGAUUUUAGUCCAGCACCACUGAGAUCUGAAUUUGCACCAGAAUGUCAAGCACAGGCCAUUAACAGAAGAGAUUUCUCAAUGGUAGAGAGAGAGUAACUGUGAAUUGUAAAGCCACAUCCUUACUGUUGGCCAUAAAUUUGGGUAAACCUCCUCCCCCAGUGAUCUGGGUUCUCACAUCUGUCUCAUCAGGCCAUUUCCCUCUCACUUGUGAAAUAUAUUACAGUAGCCAAAUUACCAAAUGACCUCAAUAAAUUCAGUCAUUCUGCUCUAGGAGAAGAUACCAUGCUGUGGAGAACAGAGUGAGAAUGUUUGGUUUUUUUCUCUCCAGACUUGCAAUUGUUCCCAUUGUGUGUCAAUUUUAUUGGCAGGUGAUUUUUUUUUUCUCCCUUGCUUGGCCCCAGUUUGAAUUUUUGCAUUUUGCUUCCCCUGCAAAUGCCUUUUCCAAUCACUACAUUUUAGCUCAUAUCAAUGAAGUUUGUAUGGGAGAAGAGAAUAAAGCAGGACAGAUCCUCAUCUGGUUCCAUUCCAAGAACCUCCCUGCUGCUCUGCCCAGCUCAGUGCUGUGAACACUGGGCAUAAUCCUACUUUAUAUUUUUGUAGACAGAUUCGCUAAACUGUUUAUGCAUGAAAGAAAUUCCUCCCUAAGUUGUUAGA
Non-coding RNA from Zonotrichia albicollis (white-throated sparrow), 2747 nucleotides. Lineage: Eukaryota; Metazoa; Chordata; Aves; Passeriformes; Passerellidae. The record is from RefSeq and is a predicted model, not a curated record.